AUACAGAGGGUGCAAGCGUUAAUCGGAUUUACUGGGCGUAAAGCGCGCGUAGGUGGCUAAUUAAGUCAAAUGUGAAAUCCCCGAGCUUAACUUGGGAAUUGCAUUCGAUACUGGUUAGCUAGAGUAUGGGAGAGGAUGGUAGAAUUCCAGGUGUAGCGGUGAAAUGCGUAGAGAUCUGGAGGAAUACCGAUGGCGAAGGCAGCCAUCUGGCCUAAUACUGACACUGAGGUGCGAAAGCAUGGGGAGCAAACAGGAUUAGAUCCCCUGGUAGUCCAUGCCGUAAACGAUGUCUACUAGCCGUUGGGGCCCUUGAGGCUUUAGUGGCGCAGCUAACGCGAUAAGUAGACCGCCUGGGGAGUACGGUCGCAAGACUAAAACUCAAAUGAAUUGACGGGG
Molecule: ribosomal RNA, 396 nt
Filed under: uncultured bacterium
Lineage: Bacteria
Description: partial 16S ribosomal RNA
Rfam family: Bacterial small subunit ribosomal RNA
Source: RNAcentral